This 77-nucleotide transfer RNA is filed under the name Chloroflexota bacterium. RNAcentral describes it as "Chloroflexi bacterium tRNA-Val". It matches the Rfam family "tRNA". Rfam says of the family: Transfer RNA (tRNA) molecules are approximately 80 nucleotides in length. Their secondary structure includes four short double-helical elements and three loops (D, anti-codon, and T loops). Lineage: Bacteria; Bacillati; Chloroflexota. The record is from RNAcentral. RNAcentral also lists the same sequence under 1 other name.
GGGCGCAUAGCUCAGUUGGUUAGAGCGCAUCUAUCACACAGAUGAGGCCCGGGGUUCGAGUCCCUGUGCGCCCACAA